UCACGAUACAAGGGCAAAAGGUGAAUGCCUUGGUGCCAAGAGGCGAUGAAGGACGUGGUAAGCUGCGAUAAGCCAUGGUGAGCCGCAAACAGGCGUUGACCCAUGGAUUUCCGAAUGGGGAAACCCUCCCGUUUUACGGGAACUGCCGGAUGAAUUCAUAGUCCGUCAGAGCGAGACGAGGUGAAGUGAAACAUCUCAGUAACCUCAGGAAAAGAAAACGACGUGAUUCCGUCAGUAGUGGCGAGCGAAAGCGGAAGAGCCUAAACCAGAGAAACUUGUUUCUCUGGGGUUGUGGGAGCCCGACGUGGGAGGAUGAAAGCGAGCUGAACAGUCUUGAAAGGCUGGCCAUAGACCGUGAAAGCCGGGUCAGCGAAGUGGACAAACCCCUAGGGAAUUCCCAAGUAACGCGAUGCACGUGAAACUUCGCGUGAAUCUGUCCAGACCACUGGAUAAGGCUAAAUACUCCUUGGCAACCGAUAGUGAACUAGUACCGCGAGGGAAAGGCGAAAAGAACCCCUGCUAGGGGAGUGAAAUAGAUCCUGCAACCCUCUGCCUACAAUGUGUCGGAGCACCGCAAGGUGUGACGGCCUGCCUUUUGCAUAAUGAGUCUGCGAGUUAUUGUCAGUGGCCAGCGUUAGCCUUUCUGAGGUGGACGCGAAGCGAAAGCGAGUACGAAAUGUGCGUUUAGUCGCUGGCAAUAGACCCGAAGCGGAGGUGAUCUACUCUUGAGCAGGUUGAAACCCAGGUAACACUGUGUGGAGGACCGAACUCGUGGAUGUUGAAAAAUCCUGAGAUGACUUGAGAGUAGGAGCGAAAGACUAAUCAAACCCCGUGAUAGCUGGUUCUCUCCGAAAUCGCUUGAGGGCGAGCGUCGAGCAAGUAAACCGUGGAGGUAGAGCACUGGAUGGCUUAGGGUCCACACCAGGAUGCCAAAACCAAUCAAACUCCGAAUUCCACGGGAUCCAAUACCUCGGCAGUCAGACGGUGGGGGAUAAGCUCCAUCGUCGAAAGGGCAACAGUCCAGCCCGCCGGCUAAGGUGCCUAAACGUUGUUAAGUGGAAAGGAUGUGAAGUUACUUAGACAGUGAGGAUGUUGGCUUAGAGGCAGCCAUCAUUUAAACAGUGCGUAAUAGCUGACUCAUCGAGUGAUUUCGCGCCGAAAAUGAUUGGCGAUAAAUGACGUACCGAAGCCGCGGAUAGCAAGUUGGUUCGCCAGCUUGUUGUGGUAGGAGAGCGUGACCGGUGCAGCGAAGCAGAACCGAAAGGGGACGUGGAGCGCCGGUCAGUGAGAAUGCAGACACGAGUAGCGAUAAACCAGAUGAGAAUUCUGGUCGCCGUAAACCCAAGGUUUCCUGGGCCAGGUUCGUCCUCCCAGGGUCAGUCGGGAGCUAAGAUGAGGUCGUAAGACGUAAUCGAUGCACAGCUGGUCAACAUUCCAGCACCGAUGUGGUUCAAACCGACAGUGACGCAAGGAGAAAAGUGGCAGGGUCAUUGAAAGACCCAGCUUAGGGGCAACCCGAAGCAAGUCACCGGACAACUUGUCUAGAAAAGCUGUCGGCCCUUUACCACAUUGCCCGUACCGCAAACCGACACAGGUGGGUGGGUGUAAAUGCACCAAGGCGCGCGAGAGAGACCUCUCUAAGGAACUCGGCACAUUAGCCCCGUAACUUCGGGAAAAGGGGUGCUCGCUUCGGCGAGCCACAGUAAAUUGCGUUUAGCGACUGUUUAACAAAAACACAGCACUCUGCCACGUCGUUAAGACAACGUAUAGGGUGUGACAAGUGACCAAUGCGGAAAGAUCAAGGCAAGUUGUUAGCCGCAAGGCGAAGCUCCGAACCUAAGUCCCCGUGAAUGUCGGCCGUAACUAUAACGGUCCUAAGGUAGCGAAAUUCCUUGUCGGGUAAGUUCCGACCUGCACGAAUCUUGUAACGACUGAACGACUGUCUCGGAGAGGUUCUCGGCGAAACUGUAGUUGCGGUGAAGAUGCCGCAUGCCCGCAGUAGGACGGAAAGACCCUAUGCACCUUUACUGUAAGCUCGUAUUGGCUUCUGGUUGAUAAUGCUUAGCGUAGGUGGGAGACGUUGAAGGCAUGGCUUCGGUUGUGUCUGAGUCGAAAUGUGAAACACCACUCUUUGUCAAUUAGGAGUCUAACCUCGAUCCCGUUAGCCGGGCGGGGGACAGUGCGUGCGGGUCAGUUUGGCUGGGGCGGCUUCCUCCCAAAUGGUAACGGAGGAGCGCGAAGCUGGGCUCAGCAUGGUUGGCAACCAUGCGUCGAGCGUAUGGGUAAAAGCCCGGUUAACUGCGAGACCAACAAGUCAAGCAGAUGCGGAAGCAGGCCCAAAUGAUCCAAUGGUAUCGUGACUGGGAAACAGAUCGGAAGAGCACACGUCUGAACUCCAGUCACCUGAAGCUAUCUCGUAUGCCGUCUUC
RNAcentral lists this ribosomal RNA (2429 nucleotides) under freshwater metagenome. RNAcentral describes it as "bacterial LSU rRNA". It matches the Rfam family "Bacterial large subunit ribosomal RNA", at positions 1 to 2438 of the family's 2925-position model. The record is from RNAcentral.